AUGGUGUACCCCCCUUUCCUUCUCAUGAUGGCCCUAUUCAUAAUUUUUCAGUUUUCUGAAGAGGAUCUGAAGGGGACACAUCAGCCUGCAGUAUCCCUAGCAAUGAUAUUGACAACACCUGCAAUAUCUUCUCCAGCUGAUGUUAUGAUCCAUGUGGCUGAUUUAACACAAUGCCUGUCAGUUGCCCAAAUCCUCCCGGGGAAAGGCAGUUUCACGCACACCUCCUUAUGGAUCAUCCCAGCUCUUAUUUCUUUUUCCAGAUAACAGUCAUCACUGCUGCCCUGAACUACCCACACGAGACUUCUCCCCCGCGAGCCAGCUACAACUAUUUAAAAUACACUUUUAGGUGACAUCUUUGCUAUUGAGAAGGGCUCUCAAUAGAAUGCAGUAGUUUCUUCACAAGAGAAUGUUGGCCUUGAACGCACAGGACAGAACUGGGGGUUGUGCUUCAUUGUAAAUGGCGGCCGAGAUGAUCUAAUAUGGAGAUACAGUGCAUUCUUUUCUUUAGCGUCUUCCUGUUGCUAAACUAAUAAUACCCAGGGGGAGGGGAAAAUGGGAAAGAGGCUCUAUUUUCCUUCCUUGGUAAUGACUGCUUGUGACCUUGAGUGUGUUGUAGACGGACAUACGGAUGUAAACCUGAUUCAAAAAUAAAUUGUUUUUGAUUAUUUUUUUUGAAUUAGAA
This 682-nucleotide long non-coding RNA is filed under the name Ursus maritimus (polar bear). RNAcentral's name for it is "lncRNA (ENSUMAG00000013173.1)". Lineage: Eukaryota; Metazoa; Chordata; Mammalia; Carnivora; Ursidae. The record is from RNAcentral.